GCCCUUCCUACGGGAGGCAGCAGUAGGGAAUCUUCCGCAAUGGACGCAAGUCUGACGGAGCAACGCCGCGUGAGUGAAGAAGGGUUUCGGCUCGUAAAACUCUGUUGUUAAGGAAGAAUGUCAGUGAGAGUAACUGCUCAUUGAGUGACGGUACUUAACCAGAAAGCCACGGCUAACUACGUGCCAGCAGCCGCGGUAAUACGUAGGUGGCAAGCGUUAUCCGGAAUUAUUGGGCGUAAAGCGCGCGUAGGCGGUUUCUUAAGUCUGAUGUGAAAGCCCCCGGCUCAACCGGGGAGGGUCAUUGGAAACUGGGGGACUUGAGUGCAGAAGAGGAGAGUGGAAUUCCAUGUGUAGCGGUGAAAUGCGCAGAGAUAUGGAGGAACACCAGUGGCGAAGGCGGCUCUCUGGUCUGCAACUGACGCUGAUGUGCGAAAGCGUGGGGAUCAAACAGGAUUAGAUACCCUGGUAGUCCAUGCCGUAAACUUUGGGCGCUAGGUGUGGGGACUUUCCACGGUUUCCGCGCCGUAGCUAACGCAUUAAGCGCCCCGCCUGGGGAGUACGGCCGCAAGGCUAAAACUCAAAGGAAUUGACGGAAGGGC
RNAcentral lists this ribosomal RNA (599 nucleotides) under uncultured bacterium. RNAcentral's name for it is "bacterial SSU rRNA". It matches the Rfam family "Bacterial small subunit ribosomal RNA", at positions 332 to 922 of the family's 1533-position model. The record is from RNAcentral.